GACGAACGCUAGCGGCGUGCUUAACACAUGCAAGUCGAGCGGAAAGGCCCUUCGGGGUACUCGAGCGGCGAACGGGUGAGUAACACGUGAGCAACCUGCCCUCAGCUCUGGGAUAGCUCCACGAAAGUGGAAUUAAUACCGGAUAUGACCACGGCCGACAUCAGCCGUGGUGGAAAGGAUUUCCGGCUGAGGAUGGGCUC
This 200-nucleotide ribosomal RNA is filed under the name uncultured bacterium. Its description in RNAcentral is "partial 16S ribosomal RNA". It matches the Rfam family "Bacterial small subunit ribosomal RNA", at positions 28 to 232 of the family's 1533-position model. The record is from RNAcentral.